GGACUCAAAAGGACCAAAAGGCCAGAAUG
RNAcentral lists this non-coding RNA (29 nucleotides) under Mus musculus (house mouse). The record is from RNAcentral. Lineage: Eukaryota; Metazoa; Chordata; Mammalia; Rodentia; Muridae.